Long non-coding RNA from Peromyscus californicus insignis, 2695 nucleotides. RefSeq lists it as uncharacterized. Lineage: Eukaryota; Metazoa; Chordata; Mammalia; Rodentia; Cricetidae. The record is from RefSeq and is a predicted model, not a curated record. The transcript has 3 exons.
UCCAGGUCCCAUUGAUGUGGUAUCAUAUCAUGAUGCCUAGUGUCAUAUCCUCAAACAUUUUCUCUCCCCGAGAUGAGAGAGGCAAAGCGGGCCUCUCUGCAGCUGUUCAGUCCCUCUCAACCACCUGCACACCCUAACUCCUCCUGACUCUGCGAAGCUCUGAAAACUCGCCUUCCCCAUCUCCAUGGCCCCUACCACUAAGUUCCGCAGCCCCACCCCCACCCCGCCCCUGCCCUCUGCAUACUCCCUAUUUUCCCAAGGUUGAAUGGACUUAUCUUCCCAAGGUCACUCUGCCCCAUCCCUCCCCUUUCCCGCCUCCUCCCUUGGCAAAGCAGGAAGAGUUUGGGGCAUGCAAGGGAGAACUGCAAAACCUUCUUGGCCUUGUCUGCUUCCCAGGGGCUAGAGAUAGGAAAGGAAUCAUGGGGAGAAGAAGGGCAGGGCCCCCUGGAGGUGGGGCUGGCCCUUCACAGGGUUGAGGGGCUGGCUGACUUCCUGGGAACGAGUCUUGUUUACCAGCUGGUCAGGAGGCGGGAUGGGCAAUGAUAGCACUAGAAUCCCAAGGGAUCAGCUUGUUCCCUGCCCUCCUGUCCUAAAGAUGUAGGAAAUGAAACUCCAGAAAAGACACAAGACAGAGGGUAUUGAACAAACUACCCAGCCCUACUUCUGACCCUGGUUUUUGUCAUUUCUGGGUGGGCUGAGUCAUUCCAGGCAAAUCAGUUUUCUCUACGGACUUAAGAAAAAAUGAUGAGUUGAUCCGGAAGUGCUCCAGUCUCAGUGGUAAUAUCUGACUCCACUUCUCUCGAACAGCUCCCCACCCUCCUCUCUCAUUCCUUCUCAUUUACUUUGCUUCCUGGACAUUUGCUUCCUUACAAAUGAGUGCUGCUUUGGGGGAGUCUGGAUCAGUGUUGACCUGGGGUCAGCUCAGAGAAGAUGCACACUUUUGGAACAAUUUGUAUAUCUUAAAGCCGGAAUGCAUGGUGGUAAGGAACAGAUAUCCUACGUAGGUUCUGGGAUAUAAUCUUAUGGCCACUUCUGGGCACAGAGAACGUGCCUAUCCCUAAAAGAACUCAGUAUACAGACAAGAAGAUAGGCUCACUCUAACUGUCCUGGCCUGCACUGAGAAUUCUCUUUCAAGGACCACAGUUGAUGGAUCUGUGGCCCAUUAAGAUGGAAUUAGAGGCCAGGCAGUUCCGACUAGCAAUAUCUAUAGACCUGUGCCCCAGAAACCCCAAUAUUCUGGUUCAGCUUACUCUUCUACCUUUGGACUCGGAGAAUAGAAAAAAUGUUGAAGACCAGCUCAUUCACCUUGAUCGCUUCAUGGUCACACAGAUGAGCAAGGUGAGCAGAGUGGAUGGAUUCCUCAAUUGCAGAACAAGUUGAGUAAUUUUAAAACCAAAACAGAGCCAGGCAUGGUGACAUACACCUUUAAUCCCAGCACUUGGGCAGCAGAGGCAGGUGGUGGGUCUCUGAGUUAAAAGCCAGCCUGGUCUACAGAGCAAGUUUUUGGCCAACUAGGGUUUAAAGGCUCAACAAUAACAAAUGUCCACCAACAGGAGUUGGUCUGGUGGCACAUGUCUGUCAUUCCAGCUUCUUGGGAGGACAAGGUAGGAAGAUUGCCAGCUCAAGUAAGCUUGAGUCUGGGAAACCCAGUAAGACCGUAUCUCAAAAAGUUCAGACGUAGCAUCCUUGCCUUGAGGCUGUGGGCUCAAUCUCCAGUACUGUUCAAAUAAAAUGAAAACCCAAAGCGGGACUGGAAGGAAGUGAGAAGACCCCAGGUGGUCCCUCACAGUAGUCCCACACAGCUCAUCCCUGCUAUCAGGGCUCGGGACUCCACCCCAGACCACACUUCUGGACUCAAGGCCACUUCCUCUGCAACUGUAAGUCAAGAUGUUCUCAGCCAGCAUCUCCCCAAUCUCACCUCAGCUCCCACUCUCCCUCAGGAGCACCAGCCCUGGCCUCAGCUGCACCCUUCUGGUUGUCACUCAUCUGCGUGUGUCCUGCCAGCGUGGUCCCUUGUCUUGUCUCCUCAAAAGGGAAGCUGCCAAGGCUGAGGCCUGGAAAAGGGACUGGAUGGCUACCCCACCCCCAAGCCAUCCCUACUCUGGAGCUUGAUGGAGAGCCAGCAUCAGCAUUGACCAGGAAGGAUCAGGGGCCCCAGAUAAAGACAGGAUGGCCUAAUGACCAGGACCAGCAUGGACACACAAAGCAGUGACGUGCUACAGGCCAAAUCCAUUGUCGAUGGGAAGAAAAGGAGAUGGAGGGAGAUCUCCAUAGGACAAGAGACCUCACACGUAUAAAGACCAAAAGAUGCAAAGUUGUGCUCCAGUGUUUACAGGGCAGGCAAAUUACAAAUGCUCAACUUACCACGAGGCUAUAGAUAAACCCUCCAUCAACUGAAUCUAUCCUGCGUGGACAAUGCGUUCAAUACAUCUAACCCACUGAGUGCAGUAGCUUGGCCUGACAUCUCAUGGGCAUGCUCAGAACCCUUACAUUAGUCACUUGAUUUAUAAUAAAGCACUGACUAUUUCAUAUAACGUAUACUGUUCUGAAAUGAAGAAUGGAAAGCUGAAUGGGGUACAGCCCACACAGGUGGGUACUUUAUAGGCAUGAAGGGUUAAAAAAAGACAAGCAGCACAGUGUACAGGAAGGACCAUCUCAUGUUUCCCCCUGGUUGGGCUGCCCCGGAGCUCGGGAG